AUACGUAGGGGACAAGCGUUGUCCGGAACGACUGGGCGUAAAGGGCGCGUAGGCGGUCUGAUAAGUCAGAUGUGAAAGGUACCGGCUCAACCGGUGACGUGCAUUUGAAACUGUCAGACUUGAGUAUUGGAGAGGCAAGUGGAAUUCCUAGUGUAGCGGUGAAAUGCGUAGAUAUUAGGAGGAACACCAGUGGCGAAGGCGGCUUGCUGGACAAAUACUGACGCUGAGGUGCGAAAGCGUGGGGAGC
RNAcentral lists this ribosomal RNA (247 nucleotides) under uncultured bacterium. RNAcentral's name for it is "partial 16S ribosomal RNA". It matches the Rfam family "Bacterial small subunit ribosomal RNA", at positions 523 to 769 of the family's 1533-position model. The record is from RNAcentral.